CCCACAUCAGAUCUCCUCCUCUUCGCUGGCUUUGCUCCAGCGGUGGCAGCAGUUGGCGGUGAUGCCCAGGAGGAAGUUGGUGGCCACGGACGCGAUGGAGACCACGAAGCCCACGAAGGCGAUGAAGAGUUUUUGAGGGAAAAGAAUAAAAUGCUGGACUGAAAUUGACUCCCUUGAGAAGUGGAUGAACAUGAUGCUGAGAAAUGGAUUCUUAGAAACAGAGAGUCAGGCUCAGAAGCAGGAUGAACCUCCCCCCAGCCCUGGCUCAGGACCCCCUGUGGGCUGUGUGCACAGUGGCCCAGACCCCGUGGAGGACAAGCUGGUGCCUGGGGUUGACCAUCAAGACAUCAUCGUCUUGGAACCGGAAGAUGCCGAACCCCAAAGUCUCUCGCAGGCCUCUAAGAAUGGGGGAAAGGACCUAAGAGCCCUCUGGUUGCUGAGACUGAUUCCUGGACAACUGCCAGUAAGAGAAUGGGGACCUCGAUUCUACACCAGGAAGGACCUGCUUUCUGCCGAUGAGUUUGGAAGAUGACCUGCAGCUCUUGAUGACAACGCAGCUGGCCAACACCCUGACCUCAGCCCCAUGAAAUACCCAGGGUAGAGGGCCCAGUUGUGUUGUGCCAGGAUUUUAAUACAUGAAUGUGUACCUUUAAGCCACUCUGAGUGUGGAAAUUUAUCAGCAUAGAGGACUAAUACAAACAUCGUGUGGAAAAAGGCAUUGUUUGGCUAGCACUUAAAUGCAUGAAAACAAUCCCCAUUUUGUGCUAAUAUGUUCCGUGAGUAACAAUAAAUACAUCUGCAACA
This is a long non-coding RNA of Cervus elaphus (red deer), 804 nucleotides long. RefSeq lists it as uncharacterized. The record is from RefSeq and is a predicted model, not a curated record. The transcript has 3 exons. Lineage: Eukaryota; Metazoa; Chordata; Mammalia; Artiodactyla; Cervidae.